Daucus carota subsp. sativus is the source of this 2662-nucleotide long non-coding RNA. RefSeq lists it as uncharacterized. The record is from RefSeq and is a predicted model, not a curated record. Lineage: Eukaryota; Viridiplantae; Streptophyta; Magnoliopsida; Apiales; Apiaceae. The transcript is spliced from 6 exons.
UAUUUCGGUCCGGUUCGGAUUUGCUCACCCCUAAAGGUGGAUACCAAAUGCUAAUAUUAUUUGUCGUUUAAUAUAGGAUGUGGACGAGGAUGCCUUCUUUACUGAUUAUGCAUAAUCUCUCAUGAAACUCUUUGAACUAGGGCAAUUUAUUCAUAACUUCUGGCAUGAUUUGUUUUAUCAGUAUAAGCAUUGUUUACUUUACAUUGAGUCAGCUGAGUCGAGUCUUUAUAUCUGUAAGCUUAUGACAUUAGUAUUCGUGUUUCUCACAACUUUGUGGAAGCCUAGUGCUAUUGGUCGACAAAACUGCUGCGAAAGAAAACAGAAUACUUGGUGCUUAUUAAUUUCAUAUUAUGUAAUAGGCCUGAAGAAGCUUGAAAGUGAACUUAGUUAUUGUAUCACGAACUUGGAGAAAGAAAUUGCGAGACAAUAAAGGAAAAAAGUGGUACAAGGUCCUUCCCUUGAUGCUAUAAUUUUUUUAUAUAUUCAGAACAACCUCUUUUAUUUUUAAAGAAUAUAAUGGAUGCACCUUUUGACUAUUGCCCUUUAUUAAUUUCAGAACACUUCCUGUAUUUGAAUGUAGUAUGGUUCAGGAACCAUUUCAAUUUAUUAAGCAAUGUACUUUAAUUAAGAUUUUAAGACUUAUAAGUGACUCUUUCCUUCUCUUUAAAUUUUCUUGUAAAAUAUAAACCGACUAGCCCAAAAAAUAUACAUUCACUGCCUGUUAAAAUCUUCACCACUGGUGCAUGCCAGAUUUGUCAUUUUUUAUUUAUUCUUAUUUACUUGAACUGAAAUGCAUGAAUAUAGUUUAUAUGAAAGCAGAUGCUGCCACUUAGCCAAUGAUAUUAUCUGAGUGGAACCCUGGGCAAUAUUGUGUCUCACUGAGUAUAGCUAAUGCUCAAGUUUAUGUUUACAUGUCUUUAGGUACCACCUGUACCACAAUCCUAAGUCCUGACGUGUGCAAUUUACUCGGAAGGGAGCAAAUCUGUGGCACCUGGAAUGAAGGCAAUGACUCUCAGGCAUGGAAUCAAUAUGGUUGUUGAUGAUGUUGUCACAAACUUGAAGAGCAGAGCAUGGAUGAUCAGCACAUAUGAGGAAAUAGCUCAGCAUAUCAACUGCAGGGUCUUUCAUUUCCAGGAUUGUGAUCCCAUUGUUCAUCCUAAAGUAAGAAUCUAUAAUGUGCUCGGCAUCGCUAUAUAUGUUACCGUUCGUAGGUGUUUGUUUAUACCGAAUACAAGCGAAAUUGGAACCAUUUUUGUUCAACCCUGCUACAUUGUCCCUGCUCAGGAGGUGUUCAUAAAAUUUCUUUAAAAUAGUUGAUAAAUGUAUUAAAAAAAUUAAGGAUCAUUGACUUGGCGCUGAAUAUCAAUCGAGAAUGAUCUCUAAUUUCCGCCUUAUAAUUAUUUACAAUUUGCUAUAGGUGGUUUGAUUAUGUAUAUGAGAAAUCUGUUAUUUUUUGGUUAAUAUUUUACUAUAGAUUUGAACUUUGAAGGAUUGCACUGAUCCUAUGGGAAGGGCUACUACUACAACAGGGGGUUUCUUGGAGCCAAUUAAAUAGGUUGAAAAUACUUAUUUGCCCAUAACUAAUCCUGGCUGAAUUACCUGCUUAUCCCUUACUGCUACGCCUGUAGGCUGUCCCCUGGUUUUGAGGUUUUUUACGGAGAAUUACUAAGGUCGUGUAUUAUUGUGACAGAGGACGUAGAUGAGGCGAGGCGCGGCGCCUGGCUAAAUAACUACGUAAUGCUAGGCGUGCCUGAGGGUAUUUUAUCUUUUUAAGAUAAAAUACCCAAUUUUUACUAAUGACAAGUGAGGAUGGAGUAAAAGAGUUGCAACGCAAGAGGCGCUCAAUGACAACCGGUAUUUCAUAUAUAGAAAGAACCAGGAAAGCUGCAAAAUUAAGAUGAAAGUGGUACAGAAAGUGAAAGAUAUGGAAUCCAAGUGAUUACAUUUUGCACAGCAGAGGCCAAGGGCUCUCCGUAUCCUGUCUGCAUAUGACACAGUCUCUUCUGUGACACUACGUCAGCUUGGAUCUUCUCUCGACUCCGGGACGCUUAAGGAUCGUACUUGCUCUCUCAAGAAGGUGGCCCCACAAUCGGACUGGUGGUUUAGGUAUAUCGAUCCACAAUCCCGAAGGGCACAUGUUAGAAGGUGCAGUUGGACGAAUGUUUAUUAUGGCGAGCACCGUUCAGGAAGGCAAAGAAUAGUUCGGAUGCAGAAACCAAAGCCGGCAAUAAUUCUGUUGUUCAACCCACGGAAAAAUCAUCUGCUGCAGUGCAGGGCUUGCAGGCCUUGUUGUUAUAGUGUCCCCAUUCGGAAACGUCUAUAGGACUGUCCUUAAACAAGAAUUGAUUUAAACUUAGUUCUCCAACGUAAUAUUUCGCAAAUAGUUUCUAUUACAGAUUAAUUCUAGAUAUGAUAUCCACGGUCUUAUUAUUAAAUUAUUGUAUUGAAUAAUGUGUACUCUCUUUUAUGAGGUCAAAUAAUUCUUUUGUUCAGCAAGUUUAUGUUUAAUUUUAUUUCUCGAUAAUUUUUUCUGAAAGUAAAUAAAGUGACUAUGUUUUUGAACUUGGUGCAACAUAUAUCAUAUAUGUCAUUUUCCAAAAUAGCAUAUAAAUCUACAAGAAAUGAAAUUAGAGCAUGCCCUUGCCUUGCACGGGCUUUAAAG